This 1445-nucleotide ribosomal RNA is filed under the name uncultured bacterium. RNAcentral describes it as "bacterial SSU rRNA". It matches the Rfam family "Bacterial small subunit ribosomal RNA". The record is from RNAcentral.
AGAGUUUGAUCAUGGCUCAGGAUGAACGCUGGCGGCGUGCUUAACACAUGCAAGUCGAACGAACCUUCGGGUUAGUGGCGGACGGGUGAGUAACGCGUGGGAAUCUGCCCUCAGGAGGGGGAUAACGACUGGAAACGGUCGCUAAUACCCCAUAUGCCGAGAGGUGAAAUGAAUUUCGCCUGAGGAUGGGCCCGCGUCUGAUUAGCUAGUUGGUGGGGUAAAGGCCUACCAAGGCGACGAUCAGUAGCUGGUCUGAGAGGAUGAUCAGCCACACUGGGACUGAGACACGGCCCAGACUCCUACGGGAGGCAGCAGUGGGGAAUUUUCCGCAAUGGGCGAAAGCCUGACGGAGCAACGCCGCGUGAGGGAUGAAGGCCUCUGGGCUGUAAACCUCUUUUCUCAAGGAAGAAGAUCUGACGGUACUUGAGGAAUAAGCCACGGCUAAUUCCGUGCCAGCAGCCGCGGUAAUACGGGAGUGGCAAGCGUUAUCCGGAAUCAUUGGGCGUAAAGCGUCCGCAGGCGGCCUUGUAAGUCUGCCGUUAAAGCGUGGAGCUCAACUCCAUUUCAGCGGUGGAAACUACAAGGCUUGAGUGUGGUAGGGGCAGAGGGAAUUCCCGGUGUAGCGGUGAAAUGCGUAGAUAUCGGGAAGAACACCAGUGGCGAAGGCGCUCUGCUGGGCCAUAACUGACGCUCAUGGACGAAAGCCAGGGGAGCGAAAGGGAUUAGAUACCCCUGUAGUCCUGGCCGUAAACGAUGAACACUAGGCGUCGGGGGAAUCGACCCCCUCGGUGUCGUAGCCAACGCGUUAAGUGUUCCGCCUGGGGAGUACGCACGCAAGUGUGAAACUCAAAGGAAUUGACGGGGCCCGCACAAGCGGUGGAGUAUGUGGUUUAAUUCGAUGCAACGCGAAGAACCUUACCAGGGUUUGACAUCCUGCGAACCCCUUGGAAACGAGGGGGUGCCUUCGGGAACGCAGUGACAGGUGGUGCAUGGCUGUCGUCAGCUCGUGUCGUGAGAUGUUGAGUUAAGUCCCGCAACGAGCGCAACCCACGUCUUUAGUUGCCAGCAUUUAGUUGGGCACUCUAGAGAGACCGCCGGUGAUAAACCGGAGGAAGGUGUGGAUGACGUCAAGUCAUCAUGCCCCUUACAUCCUGGGCUACACACGUACUACAAUGCUACGGACAAAGGGCAGCGAACUCGCGAGGGCAAGCAAAUCCCAUAAACCGUGGCUCAGUUCAGAUCGUAGGCUGCAACUCGCCUACGUGAAGGAGGAAUCGCUAGUAAUCGCAGGUCAGCAUACUGCGGUGAAUACGUUCCCGGGCCUUGUACACACCGCCCGUCACACCAUGGAAGUUAGCCACGCCCGAAGUCGUUACUCCAACCCUUGUGGAGGAGGACGCCGAAGGUGGGGCUGAUGACUGGGGUGAAGUCGUAACAAGGUAACC